UGGGAAGCCAUCCUGACACGUGACUGGGCGACUCCCGUUAAGGGUCUGAGGCUUCUGGCUGUGUCGGAAUUUUCCCGGCCCUUUCCUGAUGAGAGAACCCGUCCGUGUGGGGGUGUGACUGACCACUGACCCCGGGGGCCCAAUCACUGACCCUGACCUUGGAGUGCAGUCCUCCCUCAACCUUCAUUGGAUGGAAUUCUCCCCUGAAUUUCUUGUUCCCCAAUAAAAGGCUACUCCCAGGCGUGUUCACUCUCUCUCUCUCCUGCUAGCCCUGAGUAAUCCUUGCUGCCCUGCUGGGCGGUUAGAGGUUGGAGCCAGAGAGGGGAGCCGUCUCGGACCUGGCAAUAGAAAUAAGGUAACUGAGUCUGUGUGUUUUAUUUCGAUCUCUUCUAGCUAACUUUUAUGCCAAGAACCUCAUUAACGAAACCAUUGCACAGGCCGCAUGGUGGAAUUGGCGCCCAACGUGGGGCAUUCUAGAUUAGUUAGAUUGAGUGGGAGCGCGCUAUAAAGAUAAAGGAAGUGGUGACAAUUUAGAGUCACAAAAGUACCUGGAGAUAUUGAAGGAAAGAGAUGUUAAAUUAAUUAAAAUGGGAAAUUCAACUUCUACGGAUAAGGAAAUGUAUCUGACUAUUUUAGACAGUAUAAUUAAUCAGAAAGGAAAACAGAUAAAGAAAACUCAGUUAUUACAAUUCUUAAAGAUUGUAGGCGAAUAUUGUCCUUGGUUUUGUGAACAAGAGUCUCCAAAUUUAUCUACUUGGGAGAAAUUAGGAAGAAAGUUACAAAAGGUUUAUUUUUCAAAUGAACUACCUGGAGGCAUAGAAAGUAUUCAGAAAACUUGGACAGCUCUGGAAGUUUAUCUUUUUGAGUAUAUGGGUCAAAGUUCGUGGCCCCCUGAAGACCUGUUAAAAGGCUCACUCCAAAGGAUACAUUUGCCCAAUUGAUUUUAUUGCCUUGUGAUUCAGGGAGACACGCACCAGUAGAUUCAGUUUCUAGACCGCCGGACAGAGUAUACUGGUCGCAGAUAGUAAGACAAGAACACCCCUUAUUAAAGCUUAAAAUUAAUAAUAAAAAGUUCCUCGGAAUAGUAGACACAGGAGCUGAUAUAUCUGUUUUUUCUAGUAGGUUCUGGCCUAGGAGCUGGCCUUUACAUGUAGCACCAGCUAACCUAGAGGGAAUAGGACAGGUUUCACAGCCUGCUCAAAGUGCCAACUAUCUCCGUUGGGAAGAUUCCGAUGGGAACAGUGGAGUAUUUAAGCCUUAUGUGUUAGGGUCUUUACCAGCUAACCUGUGGGGAAGAGAUAUUUUAGCCAAGAUGGGAUUAUUAUUAGCUACUUCAAACUCUAUAAGGUCAGUUGAGGAAGUUAAUCAGAGGUAUUUUCCUGGAGAUGAUAAGGAGACCCUUCAGGAAGAGUAUCUGUUUACAAACCAGUCUCCAUGACAAAGAUUAGUAAAUGCUCCAAGCCAAAAUUUUUACUAGGGGCCCUGAGUACUUCCCCGAUCCCUAAGACAGCCGAAAAAAUCACCUGGCUCACAGAGGAGCCUAUAUGGAUUUCUCAGUGGCCCAUCUCAGGGGAAAAGCUUAAAAUAAUUCAUAGGUUAGUUGAGGAACAACUUCAGGCUGGUCAUAUUGAACCAACGCUUAGUCCUUGGAACACACCUAUUUUUGUUAUUAAGAAAAAGUCAGGAAAUUGGAGAUUGCUACAGGACUUAAGGGUGAUAAAUCAUGCAAUUCGACCUAUGGGAUCAUUACAGCCAGGACUUCCCUCCCCCACAGCCAUCCCUUUAGAUUAUAGCUUGAUGGUAAUAGAUUUAAAAGACUGUUUUUUUCUCUAUAAGGUUACAUCCUGGAGAUUGUGAGAGAUUUGCCUUCACUGUCCCAGCAAUUAAUUUUAAGGAACCUGUUAAAAGAUAUUGCUGGAAAGUACUCCCCCAGGGAAUGCGUAAUAGCCCUACCCUGUGCCAAAAAUAUGUAGACCAGGCGAUAGAUCCCAUAAGAAAUAGCUUUCCUGAUGCGUAUAUUAUUCAUUUUAUGGAUGAUAUAUUAUUGGCUCAUGCUAAUCCAGAGGUACUUUCAGAAAUUUUUACUCAGUUAGAGACUUCGCUUACAGCAAUGGGUUUAUGCAUAGCCCCUCAAAAAAUUCAAAAGUUGCCUCCUUUUCAAUAUCUAGGUCAGAUAAUUCAAGGACGUACAAUCCGUCCUCAAAAUCUUCAGAUAAGAGUAAAGGAGUUACAUACCCUUAAUGAUUUUCAAAAGCUAUUAGGAGAU
This 2266-nucleotide long non-coding RNA is filed under the name Marmota monax (woodchuck). Lineage: Eukaryota; Metazoa; Chordata; Mammalia; Rodentia; Sciuridae. The record is from RNAcentral.